This 253-nucleotide ribosomal RNA is filed under the name uncultured bacterium. RNAcentral describes it as "partial 16S ribosomal RNA". It matches the Rfam family "Bacterial small subunit ribosomal RNA", at positions 524 to 776 of the family's 1533-position model. The record is from RNAcentral.
UACAGAGGUCUCAAGCGUUGUUCGGAAUUACUGGGCGUAAAGGGCGCGUAGGCGGCCUUCUAAGUCGAACGUGAAAUCCCCGGGCUCAACCCGGGAACUGCGUCCGAUACUGGAAGGCUUGAAUCCGGGAGAGGGAUGCGGAAUUCCAGGUGUAGCGGUGAAAUGCGUAGAUAUCUGGAGGAACACCGGUGGCGAAGGCGGCAUCCUGGACCGGUAUUGACGCUGAGGCGCGAAAGCCAGGGGAGCAAACGGG